Molecule: ribosomal RNA, 519 nt
Filed under: uncultured bacterium
Lineage: Bacteria
Description: partial 16S ribosomal RNA
Rfam family: Bacterial small subunit ribosomal RNA
Source: RNAcentral
GACGAACGCUGGCGGCGUGCCUAAUACAUGCAAGUCGAGCGAGUCUGCCUUGAUUAUCGGUGUGCUUGCACUCUGUGGAACAAGAUACAGGCUGGAGGCUGACGGGUGGGUAACACGUAGGUAACCUGCCGAAGAGAUCGACAUCACACCUGGAAACGGAUGCUAAUACCGGAUAACAACAGUUGAGCCCUAACAACUGCUUAAAACGUGGUUCUGCUAUCACGCUGGGAUGGACCUGCGGGGCAUUAGCUAGUUGGUAGGGUAACGGCCUACCAAGGCGAUGAUGCGUAGCUGGUCUGAGAGGAUGAUCAGUCACACUGGAACUGAGACACGGUCCAGACUCCUACGGGAGGCAGCAGUAGGGAAUCUUCCACAAUGGGCGCAAGCCUGAUCGAGCCACGCCGCGUGAGUGAAGAAGGUUUUCGGAUUGUAAAGCUCUGUUGUUGGGGAAGAAGGACAGUAGUAGUAAAUGUUCCUGGUUUGACGUUAAUAAAAGAGAAAGCCCCGGCUAACUACGUG